RNAcentral lists this transfer RNA (72 nucleotides) under Parasitella parasitica. It matches the Rfam family "tRNA". From Rfam's summary of the family: Transfer RNA (tRNA) molecules are approximately 80 nucleotides in length. Lineage: Eukaryota; Fungi; Mucoromycota; Mucoromycetes; Mucorales; Mucoraceae. The record is from Rfam by way of RNAcentral.
UGGGUUGUGGACUAAUGGUAAGUCACCGACUUUUGAUGUCGGCUUAUGGGAGUUCGAACCUUCCCAACCCAG